RNAcentral lists this ribosomal RNA (371 nucleotides) under Bryopsis corticulans. RNAcentral's name for it is "partial 23S ribosomal RNA". It matches the Rfam family "Bacterial large subunit ribosomal RNA", at positions 2098 to 2465 of the family's 2925-position model. Lineage: Eukaryota; Viridiplantae; Chlorophyta; Ulvophyceae; Bryopsidales; Bryopsidaceae. The record is from RNAcentral.
GCUUGACUGUAUUUUGAAAUUGAAUUUGAGUUUUUUUUGCGCAGUCUAGGUGGGAGGCAAUGAAAAAGUUUUUUCGGAAACUUUGGAGCCANACAGUGAGAGACCACUCUUUAAAAACUAAAAUUCUAAUGGUGUUUUCUUGAAGCAGAACACUUGACAGUUUUAGGUGGACAGUUUUUUUGGGGCGAAAACCUCCUAAAAAGUAACGGAGGUGUACAAAGGUUCCCUCAAACUGGACGGAAAUCAGUUGAAGAGUACAAAGGCAAAAGGGAGCUUAACUGCAAGACUGACACGUCGAGCAGAGGCGAAAGCCGGUCUUAGUGAUCCGACGGUUCCGUGUGGAAGGGCCGUCGCUCAACGGAUAAAAGUUA